UGUAACACAAUCUAUCAGUUCCAGAGACUUCAUUUCAUAUUUAGGUUAAGUGUUUGGUUGAAUGUCAGCUUAUUCUGCUGCCUGAUUGAUUUUGCUCUACUAGCAAAUGCACUUUCUGAAUUGUUCCUCUAGUGACAAUAUGAAGGAGUUUUGUUUUAGCUGACUUGAAUACACGAGUAAUGUUUAUAAAUGAAUUGGCACAAAUACUUCUUGAUGUUAUCCUAGCUUGUCAUGAUAUCAUGCUUUCACUAGGAGAGAGUGACACAUUCAUGCUUGUCAUGAUAUCUAGCUUGUUCCUCUCAUUUUCACAUUCAUGUUAGGUGUUAGGAGAGAGUGACACAAAAAAUAACUUCAUUAACCCUUCAUUCAAAAUCAAAAUUGGGUAAACAAUUUCCUCUCAUUUGCAUUAUGUAAUUUUUGUUUUCCUUGUUUUCGAUUUGCAUGAUUUUGAUUCUUUUCUUGUUAAUGAUUUUCUUGUUCAUGAAGUAGAAAUUGUAUUAUUGCAUUGCCUGAUUCUAAGCUUGAUAUUCUGAUGGGAAAGGCUAGGAGUGCUGACCAGAGUCCUGAUGCUUCAACUUCAACAGAGGAGUAGAACACUAAGAGGAGGAGGAGGAUGAUGAAACUUUGCUGCUUGUAGAGUAUGUGUAAAAUGUAGAUAUAUGUUGGUGUUCUUUCAUAUUAGUGUACUGCUUGAAUCAUAUUAGUGUAUAAUGUUUUUAGUGUUAAUAGAUCUUCUCAAUUUGGUUACUUUGAGUGCCAAAGUCUAGUUAUUCGAUAGUUAAAUUUUAGUUAGUGGAUGUACUUAAAUUUGGUUACA
Trifolium pratense (red clover) is the source of this 817-nucleotide long non-coding RNA. RefSeq lists it as uncharacterized. The transcript is spliced from 2 exons. NCBI's taxonomy places the organism in Eukaryota, Viridiplantae, Streptophyta, Magnoliopsida, Fabales, Fabaceae. The record is from RefSeq and is a predicted model, not a curated record.